CGGAGGUACUCGAGUGGCGAACGGGUGAGUAACACGUGGGUGAUCUGCCCUGCACUCUGGGAUAAGCCUGGGAAACUGGGUCUAAUACCGGAUAGGACCAUGCUUUAGUGUGUGUGGUGGAAAGUUUUUCGGUGUAGGAUGAGCCCGCGGCCUAUCAGCUUGUUGGUGGGGUAAUGGCCUACCAAGGCGGCGACGGGUAGCCGGACUGAGAGGUUGGUCGGCCACAUUGGGACUGAGAUACGGCCCAG
Molecule: ribosomal RNA, 248 nt
Filed under: uncultured Actinomycetales bacterium
Lineage: Bacteria; Bacillati; Actinomycetota; Actinomycetes; Actinomycetales
Description: partial 16S ribosomal RNA
Rfam family: Bacterial small subunit ribosomal RNA
Source: RNAcentral